GAUGAACGCUGGCGGCGUGCCUAACACAUGCAAGUCGAGCGAUUCUCUUCGGAGAAGAGCGGCGGACGGGUGAGUAACGCGUGGGUAACCUGCCCUGUACACACGGAUAACAUACCGAAAGGUAUGCUAAUACGAGAUAAUAUGCUUUUAUCGCAUGGUAGAAGUAUCAAAGCUUUUGCGGUACAGGAUGGACCCGCGUCUGAUUAGCUAGUUGGUAAGGUAACGGCUUACCAAGGCGACGAUCAGUAGCCGACCUGAGAGGGUGAUCGGCCACAUUGGAACUGAGACACGGUCCAAACUCCUACGGGAGGCAGCAGUGGGGAAUAUUGCACAAUGGGCGAAAGCCUGAUGCAGCAACGCCGCGUGAGCGAUGAAGGCCUUCGGGUCGUAAAGCUCUGUCCUCAAGGAAGAUAAUGACGGUACUUGAGGAGGAAGCCCGGCUAACUACGUGCCAGCAGCCGCGGUAAAACGUAGACGUG
This 479-nucleotide ribosomal RNA is filed under the name uncultured bacterium. RNAcentral describes it as "bacterial SSU rRNA". It matches the Rfam family "Bacterial small subunit ribosomal RNA", at positions 28 to 534 of the family's 1533-position model. The record is from RNAcentral.